This 62-nucleotide transfer RNA is filed under the name Deroceras agreste. Its description in RNAcentral is "tRNA-His". The record is from RNAcentral. Lineage: Eukaryota; Metazoa; Mollusca; Gastropoda; Stylommatophora; Agriolimacidae.
CAUUAUAUAAGUUAGUUAAACUAAAGGUUUGUGGAGCCUUAAAAAUCAUAUGAUUGUAAUGU